Molecule: unclassified non-coding RNA, 518 nt
Filed under: Hevea brasiliensis (rubber tree)
Lineage: Eukaryota; Viridiplantae; Streptophyta; Magnoliopsida; Malpighiales; Euphorbiaceae
Source: RNAcentral
UCAUUCACUUCAACAUCAGCAUUUUCAACAGUUCCACCAGCCAUGAUGUUCAGCAGAUCUUUCUCAACACGCUGGACAAGCUCAGGAUUUAAGUCUGGCCCCUACGAAAUCGUCGUUUUCGAGCAUCCCUCAUUGGAGGAUUGAGUCCAUGUCUGGACUCCACUACCUCUGGAGCAAUGUCACCUGCUUCUCUAACCAUAAUCAUCUGACCAAUAUCUGCAGUUUUGACUAGUGCACAAUCAUCAUAAGUUUUGUAUGACUCCACAACACAAGGAAGCUCCAAGAGAGAGGCAGGGAAAUGGUCAUUGCCAAUGACAAAUGUGCUACUUCUGCCAUCCUCAGAAAAAGACAAAUCCAAUGAUUGAUCUUCGUCAGAAGGAGUAUUUUCACUCAAAAGACGAUCUAAACGCUCAGAAGGCGGGACUCUUAGUAUGAACUGCUCCUCCAUAUUGAAGAAAGUGAGUGACGGAGACAAUCGGGCAUCAACCAGAUUGAUUGCGAGAUCGACACAAUUUUUC